UACAGAGGGUGCAAGCGUUAAUCGGAAUUACUGGGCGUAAAGCGUGCGUAGACGGUUAUAUAAGUCGGAUGUGAAAGCCCCGGGCUCAACCUGGGAAUUGCAUUCGAGACUGCAUAGCUAGGGUGCGGAAGAGGGAAGCGGAAUUUCGGGUGUAGCGGUGAAAUGCGUAGAUAUCCGAAGGAACAUCAGUGGCGAAAGCGGCUUCCUGGUCCAGCACCGACGUUCAGGCACGAAAGCGUGGGGAGCAAACAGG
Molecule: ribosomal RNA, 253 nt
Filed under: uncultured bacterium
Lineage: Bacteria
Description: partial 16S ribosomal RNA
Rfam family: Bacterial small subunit ribosomal RNA
Source: RNAcentral